CCUGACCAGACAUGAGGUACUUCCCUUCCCCGUCCGGCUCCAUCCGCGGCCACAGCUCCAGGUCAUAGUGUACGGGGUAAAGGUACCAUAAGCCAGGACCAUUGCAGGUAUGAGGACAACAACUGAUACAUGAGUAGCAUCACAGGGUGAAGGUGCAACAUUAACAGAUGUUGCAUCGGUGGAGACUCCAGCCAGAACAAACAAGGGUUCAUUUUGGAAAGUGUAAUCGAUUAGUUAAAGAAUUGUAAUUUUAAAAAUGUAUGUAAAUGUUAAAUAAAAUAUCUAAAGAUUUUUCCUCCUA
Long non-coding RNA from Rana temporaria (common frog), 301 nucleotides. RefSeq lists it as uncharacterized. The transcript is spliced from 3 exons. The record is from RefSeq and is a predicted model, not a curated record. Lineage: Eukaryota; Metazoa; Chordata; Amphibia; Anura; Ranidae.